Molecule: ribosomal RNA, 233 nt
Filed under: uncultured bacterium
Lineage: Bacteria
Description: partial 16S ribosomal RNA
Rfam family: Bacterial small subunit ribosomal RNA
Source: RNAcentral
GACGUAGGGCGCGAGCGUUGUCCGGAUUUAUUGGGCGUAAAGAGCUCGUAGGCGGUCUGUCGCGUCUGCUGUGAAAACUCAGGGCUUAACCCUGAGCUUGCAGUGGGUACGGGCAGACUAGAGUGCGGUAGGGGAGACUGGAAUUCCUGGUGUAGCGGUGAAAUGCGCAGAUAUCAGGAGGAACACCGGGUGGCGAAGGCGGGUCUCUGGGCCGUAAACUGACGCUGGAGGAG